GCGGCGGUAACUCAGUUGGUAGAGUUUCAGCCUUCCAAGCUGACUGUCGCCGGUUCGAGCCCGGUCCGCCGCUC
RNAcentral lists this transfer RNA (74 nucleotides) under Fibrobacterales bacterium. RNAcentral describes it as "tRNA-Gly". It matches the Rfam family "tRNA". From Rfam's summary of the family: Transfer RNA (tRNA) molecules are approximately 80 nucleotides in length. Lineage: Bacteria; Pseudomonadati; Fibrobacterota; Fibrobacteria; Fibrobacterales. The record is from RNAcentral.